CCUACGGGAGGCAGCAGUGAGGAAUAUUGGUCAAUGGGCGCUAGCCUGAACCAGCCAAGUAGCGUGAAGGAUGACUGCCCUAUGGGUUGUAAACUUCUUUUAUAUGGGAAUAAAGUGCAGUAUGUAUAGUGCUUUGCAUGUACCUUAAGAAUAAGCACCGGCUAACUACGUGCCAGCAGCCGCGGUAAUACGUAGGGUGCGAGCGUUAAUCGGAAUUAUUGGGGGUAAAGGGUGUGCAGGUGGUUUUGCAAGAUGGAUGUGAAAGCUUCGGGCUUAACCUGGGAAAGCCAUACAAGACUGCAAGACUAGAGUGCGUCAGAGGUGGGUGGAAUUCCAAGUGUAGCAGUGAAAUGCGUAGAUAUUUGGAAGAACACCGAUGGCGAAGGCAGCCCCCUGGGACGCAACUGACGCUCAUACACGAAAGCGUGGGGAGCAAACAGGAUUAGAUACCCGGGUAGUC
RNAcentral lists this ribosomal RNA (460 nucleotides) under uncultured bacterium. Its description in RNAcentral is "partial 16S ribosomal RNA". It matches the Rfam family "Bacterial small subunit ribosomal RNA", at positions 338 to 795 of the family's 1533-position model. The record is from RNAcentral.